UCUUAAGACCAACGAUUUCCACUCUACAUCUUAGGGCUCUUGUUAGAUGCAGGGCUGCUCUACUGCCUUCAAUCUCCUUUGCUACAUUCUGAGAAUCCAGACAAAUACAUUUUUUGCUGUAGAAGCCCCUCAAUCUUUCUUGGAGUACUGUUAGCGUCCCACUCGUAUCUCUCUUCUUGGACUCCUGGAGGAACAGGGCUAGUUUCACAGGUUGAGAUACCUUGAGGG
This 228-nucleotide long non-coding RNA is filed under the name Homo sapiens (human). RNAcentral's name for it is "non-protein coding lnc-PTN-8:1". The record is from RNAcentral. Lineage: Eukaryota; Metazoa; Chordata; Mammalia; Primates; Hominidae.